RNAcentral lists this transfer RNA (74 nucleotides) under Termitogeton planus. RNAcentral's name for it is "tRNA-Ser". The record is from RNAcentral. Lineage: Eukaryota; Metazoa; Arthropoda; Insecta; Blattodea; Rhinotermitidae.
AGUUAAAAAGCCAAACAGAUCGAGCCUAGUGCCUUGAAAGCAUUAGCAAAGGAGUUUGAUUCUCCUGUUAACUU